Molecule: ribosomal RNA, 251 nt
Filed under: uncultured prokaryote
Description: partial 16S ribosomal RNA
Rfam family: Bacterial small subunit ribosomal RNA
Source: RNAcentral
ACGUAGGGUGCGAGCGUUAAUCGGAAUUACUGGGCGUAAAGCGUGCGCAGGCGGUUCGCUAAGACAGGUGUGAAAUCCCCGGGCUUAACCUGGGAAUGGCGCUUGUGACUGGCGGGCUGGAGUACGGCAGAGGGGGGUGGAAUUCCACGUGUAGCAGUGAAAUGCGUAGAGAUCCGGAGGAACACCAGAGGCGAAGGCGACACCCUGGGCCGUACCUGACGCUAAGACGCGACAGCACGGGGAGCGAACGG